This 900-nucleotide ribosomal RNA is filed under the name uncultured bacterium. RNAcentral describes it as "bacterial SSU rRNA". It matches the Rfam family "Bacterial small subunit ribosomal RNA", at positions 1 to 931 of the family's 1533-position model. The record is from RNAcentral.
GGGGUAUGCGGGCGCGAAUUCGCCCUUCAGGCCUAACCAUGCAAGUCGAGCGACGAAAGCCUUCGGGUGAGUAAGAGCGGCGCACGGGAGAGCAAUACGUAGAUAAUCUGCCCUUAGCUGGGGAAUAACCCUCCGAAAGGAGGACUAAUACCGCAUAAGACCACAAGGCCUGCGGGCCAAGGGGUUAAAGGAGCAAUUCGGCAAAGGAUGAGUCUGCGUCCGAUUAGCUAGUUGGUGAGGUAAUGGCUCACCAAGGCGAUGAUCGGUAGCUGGUCUGAGAGGAUGAUCAGCCUCACUGGAACUGAGACACGGUCCAGACUCCUACGGGAGGCAGCAGUAGGGAAUAUUGGACAAUGGGGGAAACCCUGAUCCAGCAACGCCGCGUGAGUGAUGAAGGCCUUCGGGUCGUAAAGCUCUGUCGUAAGGGAAAAAACAAAUGAUGGUACCUUACAAGAAAGGACCGGCCAACUUCGUGCCAGCAGCCGCGGUAAUACGGGGGGUCCAAGCGUUGUUCGGAAUCACUGGGCGUAAAGCGCAGGUAGGUGGCUUUUCAAGUCUGUUGUGAAAGCCCAGGGCCUAACCCUGGAAGUGCAGUAGAUACUGUUAAGCUUGAGUAUGGGAGAGGAUAGUGGAAUUCCUGGUGUAGUGGUGAAAUACGUAGAGAUCAGGAGGAACACCGGUGGCGAAGGCGGCUAUCUGGCCCAAUACUGACACUGAGCUGCGAAAGCGUGGGGAUCAAACAGGAUUAGAUACCCUGGUAGUCCACGCCGUAAACGAUGGAUACUUGUUGUUGGAGGUAUUGACCCCUUCAGUGACGUAGCUAACGCGUUAAGUAUCCCGCCUGGGGAGUACGGUCGNCAGAUUUAAAACUCAAGAAAUUGACGGGGGCCCGCACAAGCG